UCCACGCGCUUACUGAUGGUGCACGCGCCCUCCAGGCUCACGCUGAACUUGGGCGGCGCUCGGCCGGCGCGGAACUUCUUCUCGCUCUCGUAACACUCGAGGCGCUGCGGAUAGGCGCGGAGCACAAAGAAGCGGCGGCCCUGGGACUUCUGCUUCCGCAGGUGGCCGCAGAGCCGCACGUCAGCCGGGCAGGCCCAGGGCCGCGGCGGACCCAGGGCCACGUCGGCUGACUCGAACUCCGGGGUCGUCGUGGGGUCUCCGGGCUUCAUCCCGGACCCAAAGCAGUAAAGUGUCCGGAGCAGGGGCUGGGACGGCAGAGGUGGGGUAGACGUAGCGGUCCCCGGGGAGGGGGGCGGCAUCCUGACAGGCGACCACCCGUCUUGAUGCCCAGCGUCUCUCCCCCCGCUCCCGACUUGAAGUUUGGGGCAGGGGGCCCUUAGCGUGUGCCCCAGUGGCUGCCCGGUGGCCUGAGACACCCGAGGCUCCGACAGACUCUGAGGCUUGACCCCUGCGCCUCCUGUCGCCUCGUCUCCUGUCCUCUCCCCUCCCUCCCAGCGCGGAUCGCGCCAAAGUCCCCACCCCCGCAAGGUUAACCCUCGCGCGCCCCGGAGCCGGACGCCGGGCGGUGCGAGUGGAAUGUGAGUGGGGAAAUCCAGGAGAGGCGGCCUCCGCCUCACCCCACCCCGUGUCCUGGGACUGGGCUUUUGCAGGGGCGGGGGUGGGGCGGCGUCUCUACUGGUCUGAGCUACCGGCGGGCCGGCCAAGAAAGCGGCGAGGUGAGGCGAGUGUGCGUGGAGCCACGUCUGUGGUGACCGCGCUGGCGGCGUCUGCAGCCCUGGAGGUGAGCGGGCCGCUGAGCCGGGCCACCCUUACAGCGGCACCCCCUUCCGGCUUCCGCCGCUCCCCACUCGGAAUGGUGUCCCCUCUUCCCACCCAGGAAUGGCUCUGUUCUCUGCCUUCCCAAGUAAUCCCAGGAGCCAGGGCUACGGAGCACUGGCCUAUGCUGAUCUUGGAGGAGCUGGAGGUUCAGUUUCUCUGCGGGGUUGGGGCCAUAGGAGGUGUCUUGGGGUAAGUUAACUUCUGGAUCGGUCCCUGUGCACAGACCAUACCCACCAGGGUUCCAGUCAAGUGGCACUGAAGGAGAGCCAGUGGAGGGAGAGACCAUCUCUCAGGGGCACUGCCUUCUUGCUGCACCAUUGCCCUCAGCCCCUCCUCACCACCUCUGUUCAAAAAUAACGCUGCCCAGCUGAAGGCUCUGAUCACAGAAGUGCAGACUCUCGGCACUGGUGGAGGUACCCUUUGCAUCCCGGGAGGCUUGAAAUGGGGUUGGGAUUCAGACAUUUUUACACCCCACUUCUGAUCCUUCCAAGGACCACCGACUCACGUUGGGGGCGAUGGCGCCGGUCAGUGCACACUCUGCGAGACAAACCGGUAGUUGACACAUGGGUGGGGGGCCUUAGAGGACCUUAUGAUUUCACUGUCAUGGCAAGUAGGAUACCUACAGUGGGGGAGCUGAGGGUUUGGGAGAGGGCAGCUGUGGCCCCUAUUAAAGAUGGUAUUUGGGGAGGAGUGCCUUCAGGUGAGUUAGGAGCUGUACCAGGAGUACUAAAGCAAGGCCACCUGGUUCUUUUUCUCCGGCUAGUCCAAGGGCCAGGAAAGCCUGAGUAGGGAGGGCUGGGCUUCCCACCCCGGCUCCUCCACUUCCCAGGCGUGGGAGGAAGGGUUUGGUCUAUGAGCUGGAAUACUGGAGAAGCCAACAGUGCGGUGUGCAGGAAGGCUCAGAUUCUUGAACACCCUUUAAGGGUCAUGCUGAAAGUGUGAUGCAGGGCACCACCUGGCAUCAUGAGGAUGGGCAUCUGGCCAGCAGGCAGCAGUGCCCAGGUUCUGCUCCAGGUGCCCUCACCCCCCCGCCCCACCCAGGUCAGCCAAAGCCUCUCCAAGGUGCCAGAGAGGUGGCGGCAGCUCAGGUGGUGCACGCGGGCCAGCGGCAGCCUCCACCGUUGAUGGGUGUUGGCCAGGGAGAGGCAGGUAUGUGAGAGAUCCUGAAGUGGACACCAGGAGUAUAUUCAAGGUCAUAGCCUCCAGUGUGGCCUCGACAUAUGCGCCAUGGAGAAGUGGCAGGGACACAAAACACAUCUGCAGGCCUUUCCCCUUCCUAGUUUUGGUGCUGCCUUGAGGAGCAGGGCACCCAUGGGGGCCACGUACCUGCUGUGCUCCUGCCUGCAGCCUUACUCCCCAGGUUUGAUUUGAAGCUACCCACAGGAGGGUCUCUUCAUAUCUGCUCCUUCCCGCUCCCCACCAACCAGUCCACCUUGGAGCGCCCCAGUCCUUGUGAAAUCACAGCCGCUGUCACAGAGACCAGCUCCAGACUGCCUUGUGUCAUUGAACCGCUAAGUGCUGGGUAAAGAUAAAGCAGGAAGCAGCAGGGAUCGGAGCACCUGGGCCCUGGGCAAGCAAACGUGGUCGAGUGGGUUGGUAAUCAAUGCCAGGUGAUUUAGCCUGCUGGGUACCAGGAAAAGCCUGGAGCCAAACGACUGACUUAAUAAGUUGCCCUGGCAACAACAUUGCCCUUGGCUCUACCCAGACAAGAUUGAUUUGAGCCUGUUGCCCUGGUAACUCGUGUUGCUCCCCCGGGACAGGAAGUAACAGAACUUCAGCUCUGUUGGGUGAGAACACCUCCCCCAACCUGAGGGGGUCCACCUGUGCAUCCCGCUGCCAGGCGCAGGGCAGCAGUGGGAUGGGCUCUCCACAUUCUAAGUGCCUAUGGAAGAUUCUUGUUACCAAAGGGGAGCCCCCAGGGAGGAGGCUGGGGCACUAGGGCCAGGCUCUUCCCGUGUGCCCCUCUCUCCUCCGUCCAGGUUCUCACUCCUCUGGAGGGGGAUGCAGGGACAGCGCCACCCCCUUCCUCCAUUGGAGAGCUUGACAAAGGUCCUGGGCACUGGCUCCUGCUUCCUCACCUGCAGAGGCAGCCGCCGGUGACCUGCUGAAGGCUGGGGUCAAGCCAGAGGACUGUUGCCUGCAGAGCACUGCCACAGCAUUGGCCAGGGGGACAUAAGCACUCGGUCAGAAGCCUGGUGGCAGUCUGGAGUCCCCAAUUUCCUCUUGGCCUUAGAUCCCCUCCCUGGGUCUCUACACGCAAGACUCACCUCCAAAGGAGAGCCCUGUGCUGCCGCCUCCGCCAGUGGUGGCCGACUGGAGCGUGGGGACCUGGCUGGCCAUCCCGAAGAUGCUGUGAUACGGGGAGAAAAGUUGGCACGCACAUCAUCUAGCACCAAGGAGGCUGUGAGGAAGGCUGGGAAGCCACCAGGGCAGUGGUGGAUCUUCGGCUUCUCAGACCCCAGGCCUUUGCUUUGCCCGACGGACUCGAGAACAACACGACGCAGAGUUGGCAGGCUUCUGCUCUAAGAGGGAUGCCUGAGGACUUCUGGAGACCACCUAGGACGCUGACCCAGCCCUUGCCCUGGGGGCCCUCUCGGGGAAAGGUCAUGUCCCUUCUCAUGUUUUCUAGGACUUGGGUCUCCAUUACUUCCCAGUCAGCGACCUCCUAGUGCACAGCCUGCACAAGUCCUGGUGCAGUUUUAGCCAUUUCCUUACAUGAAGAAAGAGAACAGAGCCCCUUCUUCCUGACAAGACCCUAAUCAGACUCCUCUCCUCCUUUCCUGGAGCUUCUCCUCUUUGUGCGGUACUUUGGGUGGGUGCGGAUGUGAAUGCAGGGUGACGUAUGGAUGUGGACAGUGGGCCACAGUUGCAAGCAAGGAAGCCAGAGGGGCGGAGCUUACCUGGGGGUGCUGGCUGGGCCUGGAAUGGGGCUUGGCCGGCUGGAGGCAUGCUUCCAAAUGCAGAAGAGCCAGGGCUACUGCCAAAGGCAUCGAAGUUGGCAAAGCCCCCAUGGGAAGGCGUCUGGCCUAUAGGUGGAGAGAAUAUAAAGGUUAUGUUUAUAUAUGAUGUAUAUGUAAUCCCUAUCACGCGGACUAGUUCUGAAGGCCAAGGGCCGCUCAAUGGGACAUCUGCCUUCCUGCAGGGUCCUCUUCAGAGGGAGUUGGCAGGAGCCUGAGGCAGAGAGCCAGACACAUGCAGGGGGAAAGGGCAUCUCAGAGGCCUCCAAGUUCACUCCCCAUUUUUUAUCCUUACUCCGUGAGGCAUUAACAUUUUUGUCAGGGCCUAGUUUGGGAGGAAUCAUGGAAAAAGAUUUUGCUGGGGGGAAGGGCUUUAAAAAGGAAAAAGGGAAACUAGAUAAUCACUUUGUUCCGCCCUCUACUGGCUACUGCUGACCUUCGGGAAGAGGGCAGGGGAAGUGGAACCUGUGACAAUGCCCUUGCCCCAUUUUAGCAGAGAGAGAAGCUAAGAAAAAGGCUCUUUCCAGUGCUCUAAGAGGGAGGGCUGGGAGCCCCCAGCUGUCAUGCUUUCUGGUCAAACUCCCAAAACUAAUCCCGGCUGUAAUCCCAGCUGUACUCAUCUGACCCCCACCCUCCCAGCCGUGAUACUUCAGAACUACCAUCACGUCAUUCCUGUGCAGAGAGCUAGGGCUGAGUGAAUUCCUUGUGUGAUGGGGACGUAUGUUGUAGGAAGGUUCUCUUCCCAAGUCCCACUUACCCCCAAAGGCUGGGAAUGCAGCAAAAGCUGGUGCCACCUGGGGAGCAGCAAAGGGGUCUCCGCCGAUGUCGGCCAGCAGGUCAGUACUGGCUUUCUUGACCGAGGAGGGGGGAGGUGGCUGAGAGCUCCGGGGCUGGGACGUCCGGGGCUGAGACUGACUGACAGACUUGGAGGAGAAGGCAGUACAUAUAGCACUCGGAAUCCCAGCCAUGACCCAGGCCCUUGCACGGCUCCCCGGGCUGCCCCCAGAGAGGCAAGUGGAGAGAGAAGAGAGGCAGAAACUACCCUCAACCGAGAGGGUUCCCGGGCAGAAGGUGCCUGAGCCCUUCUCAUCCCUAAUUCCUCUGUCCUCUCAGUGCAGCAGCUCCCGGAACCACAUAUUUUAGAGCACGUUAGUCAAGGCAACCCUGAGAUACACAGGGAGGUCGCCCAACAGCCCCUCCUCAUCUUUCCCAGGCGCCUGAAGCAGUGUCCUGGCCCCUGUUUUUCCUUGGAGGAAUGGUCACGUUUGAAGUUGAUACUCUGACUUCCCUAAAUACCACUUCCUGUUGGGGUCUUUCUUCCAAAACAUACAGAUCCAAGUUGCAGGGCACAUCUGAGAGUUACCUGGCUGGAGGUGGAGGCAGCAGCCGAGAGAGACGGCACAGGAUCCCCCAGAAGUGUCCGCGGGGACUUCCCUUCUGGAAUGGAGCCCUGGACGGGGGUGGAGGCGCCGCCUUUGGUAUAAGUGGGCCCUUUGACUUGGUCUGGGGGGACAUACCUUGGAGAAAGAAUAGUUAGGCUAAGAGGAGAGGGGUGAAAUCUUGGACCUUGCUCAGCUUAGGUGCUUGAGAAAACACAGGUUACAGCAGUCAAAGUCCUUUCUCACUUUCCCUACUGAUUCUCUUUUUUGAACUAAAGGGAAUUUAGCAACUUAGCAAAGUUCUGGCGAACUUUAGCUUCCCCUUUACUGUCAGAUGCUCAUUUUUUUCCUGCAGGGAUGUUCAGUUGGCUCUGGCUUGUGCCAGUCUUCCCCUCAUCUCUCCCUCCUCUUUCUGACACAUCAAACCAUCUGGGUUUCAAGUAAUAACACCUGCAAUCAUGCUGAGCAACAGGUGAUCCUAUUUUCCAACUUCCUACUCAAGGGCCCCCUUUUAUCUCCUGGGAGUGUCUUCAGGUUCCUCCUUCUCUGCCACCUCAGCUUCUAAGCGCUCACGAUCUAUCCUGCCAGCUGCUGGGCCUUCUGAUCAAAUCCCCUUCCACUCCAGUGGAUGUGGUCUCUACUCCGGAUGUAUCUUCUUUAUCCCGAGGACACCCCCCACCCCACCGAAGGGACUCCAAAAUUCUGUUUUAUCCACACCAGUCUCCUUGCUCCCUGAAUUCUCUUCUCCACCCCAGAGUUACCCCCAACCGUGCACACCCUCCCCCAUCCCAGAAAUCGAACAAUAGGAAGUGACACCUGGGGAGAGAAAAGGCAAGAGAGGACAGAGAUGCUGUUUCCUCAGCAGGAAAACAGGGGACAUACGAAUCACGGGUUAAAAGCAUGAAGCUAGAGGACAUGUGCUCCCAGCCACCUCUCUCCAUAAAUGAGAUCAGCUGAGCUAUAAAAAUGUACCCAAACUCCCUAGUGGGGGCCCUAGCUCUCCCCUCCAACCAGUCUACUGUCUCCCCAAAAGAGGGGACAUCAAAUCUGCAAGGUUAGUGACCAAGAGCAAGUUGUUCUUUCCUGUACCUUUAUUAUUUUGAAGUCAGAAUUCGGCCCUAACUGAAUCUGAGGGGAACAGACUCAAACCUUGUCUAGCCUUUGAGAGAAGCCCCAGUUCAGCUCUGGAAACUGGACGGUACGAUGAAGUGUGUCUUGGACACACGUCUCCGGAGCAAUCUCUCUCCUCCUCCUUACCAUCUCUUCUUCUCAUAUUUUUCCUGGAGAAACUCCUUCACCUUCUGAGGAUCCCUGGAAUCUGGUAUUAAAGAUGUCCGAGCAUCGAAAAGACCCAGCCAAAUCUUCCUGCAAACCUAAAGGAAUGAAGUCAGGUGACAGAGGAAAUGGGGCAGAAAGCGUGAAAUGGGAGUCAUACCAUUUCCAGCUCAUUCAUCAAUAGACAUUUAUCACGCACGGACACGAUGUGAGGACCCGGGUGCACCUACAAAAUAGACAUGAUGCCCGUCCUUGCAAAGUGGAUCAUCUAACGGGGAGGUCAUGCCAUAGAUAAAUAAAAAUACAUUUAUAAUGA
This is a long non-coding RNA of Balaenoptera ricei (Rice's whale), 6806 nucleotides long. RefSeq lists it as uncharacterized. The record is from RefSeq and is a predicted model, not a curated record. The transcript has 5 exons. Lineage: Eukaryota; Metazoa; Chordata; Mammalia; Artiodactyla; Balaenopteridae.